UCAGGCAGCAUUGGCGGAAUACAGACCUAAGAAAUAUCUCCACUGAAGAUGGGCUCAGGAAAAAAACCUUAAAAUUCAUGAGGAAAUAUUUAACCAUGAGUGACAAUCAACAAAGAACCUUAUUACUCAUGGCAGAAGCAGAAGGCAGACUUCACAUUUGAGCCAAUUACCCUUGGCCUCCUGCCCACUACCCUCACCCCUCAACAAGAGAGUGACACAGAUGGGCCUACACGGACUCCAGCACAAACAGUGGGCUGCAUUGUAGGAAAGGAACGCUGAGUGUUGGGGGAGUCACGGCUUUUCUAGUGAAUGCGGUUGAGAAUCUGCCUGCCAAUGCAGGGGACACGGGUUCGAGCCCUGGUCUGGGAAGAUCCCACAUGCCCCGGAGCGACUAGGCCCGCGAGCCACAGCUACUGAGCCUGCGCGUCUGGAGCCUGUGCUCCGCAACAAGAGAGGCCGCGACAGUGAGAGGCCCGCGCACCGCGAUGAAGAGUGGCCCCCGCUCUCCUCAACUAGAGAAAGCCCUCGCACAGAAACGAAGACCCAACACAGCCAAAA
Balaenoptera acutorostrata (minke whale) is the source of this 558-nucleotide long non-coding RNA. RefSeq lists it as uncharacterized. NCBI's taxonomy places the organism in Eukaryota, Metazoa, Chordata, Mammalia, Artiodactyla, Balaenopteridae. The transcript is spliced from 3 exons. The record is from RefSeq and is a predicted model, not a curated record.